GCCGUCGGUGACGUGACGGAGGCAGGCGAGCAGCUCCAACAUGCCGACGCACCCGAUCAGUAUCGACAUCAUUAAGCCCAUUUCGAAAAGCGUUCUUGGAUUUUCCAAUGAAAAACGAUAGACUAUGUUACGUCACGAACUCGACACGUCAAAUACCCAUACAGUUGGCGGUGCUUCAUCCUAUCGUUCUUUUCUGCGAGCUCGUCGCUCUUCGGGAGCAUAGAAGGUACCGCUCCAGGAUGAUCUACAAGAGAAGUCCUCUCGGAAACAUAUAUCGGAAUUCCUCGAUCUCGGAGGACGAAGGGAAUCUCGGUGGUGUGCGUGCUACAUCCAUAAGAUAUCCUCGGGAUCUCGACCGAACUCUUGGUGUCACUCGGGUAAUCCUCUGGGCUGACGUCACACACCCGGGGGACGAAAGAGAGGAAAGAGACGAGACGAGAAGUUAAAACGACUUCCUAGGGGGGGCACCCACCACCCACGCGCACCCACUGGUCCACAACGGUGGCGUAGCCCGUUUUGCAGGCUGAAAGGCGUCGCGGGCCCUGACCGAGCGGCACGUACUCGAGGAGGCGGUGAUCACGCGAUUAUCGGCUUAUCCAUGCGGCCGGAUGGCGGCCAGAGAACUGUUUUAUUUUCCGUGGGCAAACCGUUCGGACCCGGGGUAAACUAGUGGCCGUUCGGCUCGUUAUGUCGACGUAACGUUCGACUUGAGGAGCGAACCGUGGCUAAGGCUAAAGUUAGCUCGAAUGUCCCUGGACGCGAAUCUCUGUCCUUAAUGCAGCGUACGCGUCGCGAUCGAUCACUUGCUCGAGAUAAUUAACGGAGCCCGAUUUGGCAGUCGCCGCGUGCGACGUCCGAUCAUCGGUCGCGCGAUUAAUUGCGAUCGAUGCCGAGCUCUAAUGAGCCAAUCCGUUAACCAUCGUUCCUCGUCGUGUUCGGAAACGUUGGCGCGGGGGCGUCGUUUCGAUAUCUGUACGACGUCGCGACGAGAGAACGAGAGUUUGGCACCUUCGGUCGCGAUCGUUUCGCAAAAACGAACGAUUCGCCGCUUGCAACUUGAUUCGCGUCCAAGCGCAUCUUUAAAAUCGAUCAUACGGCAACUAGCACGGUCAGUGCGAGCUCUAGUCGCCGUUCUUUUCGUUUGCAUCGUCCCAUCUUUCGUCGCGAAACUUUCGAGCGAGAGAAAGUUUCCAGGAUUCAAGUUCAAUUGCGGCGUGACCUUUGAUCCGUUACGUCGAUCAAUUAACCCAAUCCCAUUCAUCCUUGCGCGCGCUCUCUCUCUCUCUAUGUUCGUUCGAACUCGACGGAGCUCCGGCGUGGAAAUUCCGGCUUGUUUACGUGGCCGAGAUGCGCGGCCGAAUUUCUGGCGUUACUCGGACGACUUUAUUUCGGUUACCUCAUCGGUUACGAAUCAACGAGUCGAGCCGAUCUUCGAUACACGUUUUGCGCGCGGUACGUCUCUCUGGCGCACAUCCAAACAGAUAUCGAAACACCCAGCGUCCAGCUUAUCGAACUCUCGAUGAUCUAUAUUUGCGCCGUACCGCAACACUGUCCGA
Long non-coding RNA from Bombus pascuorum, 1556 nucleotides. RefSeq lists it as uncharacterized. NCBI's taxonomy places the organism in Eukaryota, Metazoa, Arthropoda, Insecta, Hymenoptera, Apidae. The record is from RefSeq and is a predicted model, not a curated record. The transcript has 2 exons.